Molecule: ribosomal RNA, 460 nt
Filed under: uncultured bacterium
Lineage: Bacteria
Description: partial 16S ribosomal RNA
Rfam family: Bacterial small subunit ribosomal RNA
Source: RNAcentral
CCUACGGGAGGCAGCAGUGAGGAAUAUUGGUCAAUGGACGAGAGUCUGAACCAGCCAAGUAGCGUGAAGGAUGACUGCCCUAUGGGUUGUAAACUUCUUUUAUAAAGGAAUAAAACGAGGCACGUGUGCCUUUUUGCAUGUACUUUAUGAAUAAGGAUCGGCUAACUCCGUGCCAGCAGCCGCGGUAAUACGGAGGAUCCGAGCGUUAUCCGGAUUUAUUGGGUUUAAAGGGAGCGUAGAUGGGAUGUUAAGUCAGUUGUGAAAGUUUGCGGCUCAACCGGUGAAGUGCAAUUGAUACUGGCAGGCUGGAGUGCAGUUGAGGUAGGCGGAAUGCGUGGUGUAGCGGUGAAAUGCUUAGAUAUCACGAAGAACCCCGAUUGCGAAGGCAUCUUACGAAACUGUGACUGACAUUGAUGCUCGAAAGUGUGGGUAUCAAACAGGAUUAGAUACCCCGGUAGUC